AAAUGAAUAGACGGGGGCCCGCACAAGCGGCGGAGCAUGUGGAUUAAUUCGAUGCAACGCGAAGAACCUUACCAAGGCUUGACAUAUACCGGAAACACCUAGAGAUAGGUGCCCCGCAAGGUCGGUAUACAGGUGGUGCAUGGUUGUCGUCAGCUCGUGUCGUGAGAUGUUGGGUUAAGUCCCGCAACGAGCGCAACCCUCGUUCUAUGUUGCCAGCGCGUAAUGGCGGGGACUCAUAGAAGACUGCCGGGGUCAACUCGGAGGAAGGUGGGGAUGACGUCAAAUCAUCAUGCCCCUUAUGUCUUGGGCUUCACACAUGCUACAAUGGCCGGUACAAAGGGCUGCGAAAUCGCAAGAUGGAGCGAAUCCCAAAAAACCGGUCUCAGUUCGGAUUGGGGUCUGCAACUCGACCCCAUGAAGUCGGAGUCGCUAGUAAUCGCAGAUCAGCAACGCUGCGGUGAAUACGUUCCCGGGCCUUGUACACACCGCCCGU
Molecule: ribosomal RNA, 493 nt
Filed under: uncultured bacterium
Lineage: Bacteria
Description: bacterial SSU rRNA
Rfam family: Bacterial small subunit ribosomal RNA
Source: RNAcentral